CCUGAAGCCAGAACACAACAGCAUUGUGAUUAGCUGGACCCUUGCCUUGGAAAACAUUCGAACAUGCAGCAGGAGGAAUAUCUGACGGAUAAUCCACCAAACAAUUGGCAGCUUUAAAGAAAAGGAGCCGAGGUCUGCUGGCCGACAACCUGAUCUUUCCUCGCAGAGUGGGCUGAAAAACGAAAUCUCCAGGUGGCCCCAGUGCAGCGCUUCUUAGAGAACAGAAGGUGACUCGAAACCAGAUUGUAAUGGGAGGAUGCUGUUUGUGAAGAAAAAGGUGCCCAAACCCAAGGAAGGACUUACAUCAAAUCCUUGUAAACGACCAACAUU
Long non-coding RNA from Podarcis muralis (Common wall lizard), 330 nucleotides. RefSeq lists it as uncharacterized. The record is from RefSeq and is a predicted model, not a curated record. NCBI's taxonomy places the organism in Eukaryota, Metazoa, Chordata, Lepidosauria, Squamata, Lacertidae.